RNAcentral lists this unclassified non-coding RNA (206 nucleotides) under uncultured Orbiliales. RNAcentral describes it as "sequence contains ITS1". The record is from RNAcentral. Lineage: Eukaryota; Fungi; Ascomycota; Orbiliomycetes; Orbiliales.
CAAAAUACCGGCCUCACGGCCUACGCUGGCAUGGGCCGGUGGGGACCUCCCCGCCGGCCCUUGACGGUUAACCCACUGUGAAAACCUCUGUUGCUUCGGCAGCGCCUCCCCGUCCGCGGGGAGGGUCAGCCUGCCGGUGGCACCCUCGCAAAACCCUUUGUGAAUUUGUUAAACAAACGUCUGAGAGCGAAGUCGAAUGACAUAUA